This is a long non-coding RNA of Diachasmimorpha longicaudata, 2692 nucleotides long. RefSeq lists it as uncharacterized. Lineage: Eukaryota; Metazoa; Arthropoda; Insecta; Hymenoptera; Braconidae. The record is from RefSeq and is a predicted model, not a curated record. The transcript is spliced from 5 exons.
UAAACUUGGAGUAUUCCUGAGGCAAAAUACAGCCAUUGGAUACACUUGUAGAGUGUUCAAGUUACAGAUACAUCGAAAUUCACUCUGCAAGGUGAAACAAGUGCUAAGCAGAGAUAUUGUCUACGUGGUGUAACCGAAGAUGGAAAAGAAAAUAUCUGAGAGGUCUUGCGAUAACUGAUAAAGAUGAAUGGCGGAAGGAGAGAAAGAGUGUAUCUCUUCUGGAAGAUAAAUAUUGAUUAAAGAGGGCAUAGUGUUGUCUCACAGGGCCAUUCUCCGGCGGGAUUCAAUGAAGACCUAGAGGAAUAAAAAUUGGGAAGGAUCGGAACUACGUUCUUUACUCCUCGGAAGAUAAAAUUCUAUUGGGAAUUCCAAGCUAGGGAAGAACACACAAAAGAGUGACGAGAGAAUAAUCCAAUGGAAAUGAUGUACACCAGUGACACCGCAGCCAGAGCAGCCAUGAUAAUUCCAAAAUCAUUCGAACAGCAGAGAAUAUACAUAUAUAUCAGCGGAAGCCGUCUCGGGAGAACGUUAAUAGACAGCUCGAGGCGUCGCGACACUCGAUUCUGUGGCGAUUCUGGAGCCGCAAUACAGUUUGUCAGAGAAAAAGGAAAAAACAUGUUUGGGAAAAAGUCGAGUAAACAACAAUAAGAGGGAUGAGGGUAGUGUACAGAACAGAUAGCAAAACGAGACGACAGUAAAUGACGGCAAUCGUAUCGUGCGUCUCGCCUUGCCGGAUGUUCCAACGCGACAGAACAGGGCUCGUGCAAAAGGAAGAACUCUCCCUGCACAAUAAAACUAACGCCUUCAACACUAUGAAUGCACUUGAUUUACAUGACAGGAGAAUUAAUCAUUAAAAACGCCGUCAAAACUGAAGAUGAGUAAGAAUUAUGGUACAAUAAAAAAAAACCACAUAAAUCUCGACGGAUUGAAAACUGCAAGUCGAAUUAAAUGAGAAAUAAUACUUUGAAUUCCUUCCAGAGCCAUUCUAUAAUUCCCUUCAACAUCCAAGGCUGACAAUUUUUUGUGAAAUCUUACACAAUGCAUUAUGUUGAAAAUCCCUCGAAGUCGUUUUCUAUUCUUAAAGUUUAAUUCAAUGGAGCGCUGCAUCGAACGUUAUACUUCGUCCGUAAUAAAGGCAUUAUUUUUGAGAAUCUAUUUGGAAUUUAUUUCGUCUUCGAACCUCGAACAAUAAUGGAGAAAAAAUAUAAACAAAGUUUGACUGGAAGAGACAGAAAUAAGUUCUCCCCUCAGCACAACUCACGAAGAAAAAAGUGAGAUAAUGUAAAAAAUCAGAAGUAUUGAUUCAAUAAUGAAUAGCCCGACGGAAAAACUUUUGUUGGACUCAAAAUGGGGAAUAAAGUAUUCUCUCGUGAAAAAGUUGGUACAACGGCACACUAUUCCAAAAGUAAAGGGCGUGAAAAAAAAAUUGUCUGGCAAAAAUUCUCCAGACGCUACAAUAUUACUGGUUUCAAAAUCUGAAGAAAGGGUACAGUGGCUGGUGCGACGCAGACGUACGAUAAAAAAUUGGAUAAGGGCACAGAGGUUGGGCUCGUGGGAGGAUAGACUGUUAUAUGCCGACUGGACGUGACCUUUUGGAAUCAAAAAGCACUGCUGAAAACCCACGAUUCACAAAAAAAAAAACAUAUAUAUGUAUCAUCAAAUGUAAUAAAUUGCCAAUACGCGUUUUCCCAGACAAAGGAAAUAUUCUACACUGAAAUUUCAUUUGCACACCCCAGUUUAUUCGGAAAUACGAUUGACUGACAGGAAACAAGUGAAUGCAACAAGAAAGGGUAGAAAAAAAAAUGAAACCAAUGAUAAAAACUCGGAUUCGGCAAACUAGUAGGAGUAAGGUAUUUGUAAUUUUCAUGAAAACCGAAUCGGCGAGGCGUAACGUGGUGGCCGCUAUCGAUUUUGUGUAAUCCCCCUGAACUCGUCCCUCUUCACUCCACCCUCUACAACCCCUUCAUCUCUUUCAUGCCUUCCACUAAGCGUGGUUUUCAGGGAUAAGUGCAUAAGCAUAUAUCGCCGACUAAUUUUUAUCUUUAAAAAACAAAUUGCCGUUUUGCGGGCAUUCUCCACCCAAUUUUGUCAUAUUACAUGAGCAAUAUUGCAAAUAUGGAGAGAUCAUACAUUUUUUUUCAUAGAAUUUAAAACGAAUGAUAUGAUAUGCUUCUGGGAUGAGCAGAAAAAAAAUCUAUUGAAAUAUUAACGAGUAAAAGGAGAAAUAACAAAACGAUAGAAUUUCAAUUUCUGGAGUAGAUAAAGUUUCAUUUGUGGAUUGAAGGGGAAGGGGGUACCAGUUGUGAAUAAUGUAAAUGGUGCAAACGAGAAAGAGACAAGUAUUUAAUUAAAUGCAAUUGGCCUGAGUGAUGCCCCGGGUUCUUUUUAAUCCAACGAUUGGAUCGCACAUGGCAGAGCAUCCAGGUUAACUCCUUUAUUUUUUUCAAUUACUCUUCCAACCUUAUAAAACUUGCAUUGUAGAGUAGUGAAAAUACAUUGUAGAGCUGGAUACCACAUCCGAUUGAAAAUAAAAACCAUAAUAAGAGGAGUGAAAUUGGGUUCACUGCCCUGAAUUCGUUUUUCAGACUGGUUUUAAUAACAGAUGGUGUAACAUCAUUAGAUCCGAGUUCAGUGGAAUCCGUAAAUUAUUCAAUACUCAAGAAUGUGAUACACCUGAUGAAAGUUUAAUAAU